Long non-coding RNA from Micropterus dolomieu (smallmouth bass), 3551 nucleotides. RefSeq lists it as uncharacterized. The transcript is spliced from 2 exons. The record is from RefSeq and is a predicted model, not a curated record. NCBI's taxonomy places the organism in Eukaryota, Metazoa, Chordata, Actinopteri, Centrarchiformes, Centrarchidae.
UGUACAUCUGGUUGCCGGACAUGCUGGUAGACUUCUUCUUCAGCUCCUCGUCCAGCACGUCUCUCUGCUCCAGCAGAGCACGAAGACUAUGGAUGUCCUCGCACUCCUGCUGUCGGUGAGACAAGCUCUUACAUGCACCAAGGUUUCGAUGCAGCUCCUCCUGUUCCUUCAGCAGCUUCUCUAUCUCCUGCCUUCACUCACAUCACAUAAACAGCAGAUUAGGCAAAAAACACAUAUACACACACUGUUGUGGAUGGGAUGCAGGUGUAGUGCUUAUUCACUGUUGUUUGCGGAUCUGCUCGCGGGCCUGAAGGUUGUAGGCCUGCCGAUCUCCUUCCAUGAUCUUGAACUGCCUCUGCAGUUUGGCUAUCUCUGAUUCUGCUUGAAAAACAUCAUAUGCACAUUAUAGCUGCUUCCACCAUGCAACUGGCAAAAUAACAUUACUGAGAGAGCAUCAACAUCUAAUAGUUCAUAAUAACAAUAUUACCUGUGCCAUCAAUAUCCACCUCACUGCUGUCUGAGCGGGCACUUGUGGCUGAUCUUCCUCGAGGCAUGGUUACACUGGGCUUCAUGAAAAUAAUAAUGAAAUAUUGAACUUGUCCUUGUCUUCUGACCAUUAAGUUUAAUUAAACCUAUAUAUUUAGUCUCAUAUUCAGCCUUCAAACCUAAAUUAAAAACUGAAUAUAACACAAAAUAUGUUAAAACAGUUUUUUCAUGAUUGCCUGGAUUCAUUUGAUUGACACUGAUCUUAAGAUGUAAAAUAGGAAAUGAAGACAUUUGAUAUACUCUCUGCUUACAUUGGUUUUGAAAUAGCAGUUAAUGGACAGGCUACAUGCAAGAUUGUUUUGUCUUAAUUAUCUACAUGAGAAAUACAUUUGAUAAUACAUGGUAUUUGUUAUUUGAUUAUUACAUUUUGUAUGAUAUCGUUACACAAAAUGCAGAUUAUAGAAAAAUAUAGAACAUCAAGUUUCCCCCCAACGGUUUUACAUUAAACAGUAAAAUAUACACUUUUAACCUUUACUUAAUCAGGGGAGCUUCACUGAGAGGAAGCUGCCCACCUGGAAGCUGUCCAGUACAACCACAGACAAUAUUUACAGUAGGCUACAUUUGAUUAAUCAAACCUAAAUAUUUAAAUGUAGAUUCAAAGUCAUCAAGCAGAAUUAGAUAAAGGCAUCACAUUGCAGGGCAGGUCAUCAAAACUACACACAAUGCUCAUUAGUAAAGUUACUUAGCUAAAACACAGUAGUCAUGGUACUUGCUAGCUGUAACAUUUAGCUUGAAUAUAGUUGGCUGACAUAUGAAAGGUACAGAAGAAGUUUCUGAUAAAGGAUUAGGAUAAAUAAUAAUUUAGCUCACCAGCUGAAAGUUUAAAAACACCCCAGUGUCACCUCCCAGGACACACAACAGGCUUACAGCAGCCUAAGUUGUUAGCAACCGUUACCAAGUGAUCCGGUCUACAAAUCCCUGAACUCAGACUCUCAGGCAGUAGUUUACAGGUUGGUUGAGUGGUAAAGGUUAUGGUGUUGACUGAGACUCGAGUCUGCAAGGAAUAAACAAUAAAGGGAUUUAUACACACACACAGUGUGAAAGGAGGAGAUGGGAUUUCCAGGGUUGUAUAUCUGUGGCCAAAGGUUAGCUGGAUGCCAACAAGAGGGUCAGCAGCGGACUGGGACAAAAAUUCAGCCCUGGCACAGUACCAGCCCACCUUACCCCGGAUCCCCACUCACGAACACACACAUUCACUGCUUUAAUUUGUGUGCAGAUGGUGAAAAAAUAUAAGCAGUCCCGUGUGUAACAGAUUUGUAACAUUUAAGCAUGUGACUGUCAAACAAAGCUUUAACACACGUUUAUAACAAAUUUACACAGUAAAAACAACAGCUCUCCAUCUGAGUAUGUUGUAGAGUCUGUGUGCUGUCUGUCUAUGCCAUUUGUCUGCUGUGUCAUUCUCUACUGCAGUUAAUUACAAACCCAAAUUACAUUUGUGUGUCACUAAUUUUCUUCCUACCACUAACUUCUAAUCGGGUUGGUCAGACCAUCUCAAAACCAGGCCAGCAACUGCCGACUGGGGCAAAUUAUAGAUAAUUAAUAAAGAUAUUGUUUAUAUAUUAUGGAUAUAUCUAUAGUGUUUCCCAAAGAAAGGAAACAGUCAAAUUGGUGUCCCCCCCAGCGAGUGGCAUAUGCAUAAAAUGCCACAUACUGUAUAUAGCCUAUGUAACCCUUGGGUUUGAGUUAAAAGGUGCAUAGCAGCACACAGCGGAUAGGCUGCAAGUCUGGCUUCGAGGUAGACCAUCCUGAGCCUUUCUUUAUCUUCAUCUUUAUGAGAGGAAUGCUAAAAACCUUCACUCGCAAUAACAUGGGACAGCUGUGAGUCAUUCAGCAGCUACAUGACUUCUUUAUCAAAGUCAUUGAAAAGUCCUGAGGAAGAACCGGCGCCAUCCUUUCUCCUCAAGUGAACUCUCGGCUGUAAUGAGUGAAAGUAUAUUUUAUCAUCCUGACUUUGUGGUGCUGGUCUGUACAUUGACAAGGUUUUUGUCAUACAGGCGCUUUCACACUGCCUUAGCUAAGCAGCUCAACAUAUCUCAAGAAUAUUGAAGAGCUCACUAAGUUGUGUGAGCUCAGUGGCCUCUCUGUUAAUGAAAAGAAAACUAAAGAGCUAGCGAUCAUGAGACACAACACACAACAGUGCUUGUCCAUGUUUUUCUCCUGUUUUGAUUAAGAAUAAGCCCCUUUGAGAUGGGUGAGUAGUUUAAAUAUUUGGGAACCAUCUUUGAUUGUAAAUUACGUUUUACAACCAACACAAAGUACAUUUUUAAAAAAGCAAUGCAGCGUCUGUAUGUGAUCUGGAAAUUGUACUCAUAUGACAUAAGCAAGAAUAUCCUAGAGAGUGUUUAUCAAAAUCACAUCCAAAGCAUUCUAACUUUUAAUAUAUGUACCUGGUAUGGACACACUUGGGGGUGAAGGACAAAAACAGAUUGGGCAGAAUUACAAAUUUGGCUGGUGUUGUGUUAUUUAUUGUGUUUUUGUAUUGUGAUUUGUUAAAUGAUGUGGUUUUUAAUCAGCCUGUGAAGCCAAAGACCAAUUUCCACAUUUGUGGACAAUAAAAACAUUUGAUUUUAUGACUUAUUUUCCAGGAUUAUUAUGUAUCCCUAAAAGUUCUCUGUGCAUUUCGUAGUGUACUUUAGUGGUGUUUCGCACUGAUUUGACCCUGUAGACUUAUUUGUUCAGAGCUUGGUUGUGUAAGCUUAAAUAUGGUACUGUAACUUGUGUAAAUUCUCUCUCUCUUGCUCUCUCCCAAGUGGUAGAAGCAAGCCUCUCUGUCUUUAAGUGUUUUGUGGAUCCAUGCUGUUUGUUGACAUGUUAAAAAACACAGUAGCUAGAGAAAUAUUGUAGUUUUACUGGUAUGUAGUCUAUGUUUGAAAUGGUGCCCCGCCAAUUUUUACAUAUAAAUACGACACUGGUCAAAUCUGUGGUUAAAGUGGGAUAUUUCAAGAAUAACUAUCCUAGUUGUUUGUAACAAGAUAGUAUGGUUAAUAAAUAAUUACAUGACGCUA